Molecule: ribosomal RNA, 301 nt
Filed under: uncultured bacterium
Lineage: Bacteria
Description: partial 16S ribosomal RNA
Rfam family: Bacterial small subunit ribosomal RNA
Source: RNAcentral
CAGCAGCCGCGGUAAUACGAAGGGGGCUAGCGUUGCUCGGAAUUACUGGGCGUAAAGGGAGCGUAGGCGGACAUUUAAGUCAGGGGUGAAAUCCCAGAGCUCAACUCUGGAACUGCCUUUGGUACUGGGUGUCUUGAGUGUGAUAGAGGUAUGUGGAACUCCGAGUGUAGAGGUGAAAUUCGUAGAUAUUCGGAAGAACACCAGUGGCGAAGGCGACAUACUGGAUCAUUACUGACGCUGAGGCUCGAAAGCGUGGGGAGCAAACAGGAUUAGAUACCCGUGUAGUCCCUGUCUCUUAUAC